Molecule: ribosomal RNA, 424 nt
Filed under: uncultured prokaryote
Description: bacterial SSU rRNA
Rfam family: Bacterial small subunit ribosomal RNA
Source: RNAcentral
UCGAGAAUCUUCGGCAAUGGGCGCAAGCCUGACCGAGCGACGCCGCGUGCGAGAUGAAGGCCUUCGGGUUGUAAAUCGCUGUCAGAGGGGAGGAAAUGCCGGUGGGUUCUCCCAUCGGUUUGACCUAUCCUCAGAGGAAGGACGGGCUAAGUUCGUGCCAGCAGCCGCGGUAAGACGAACCGUCCAAACGUUAUUCGGAAUCACUGGGCUUAAAGUGUGCGUAGGCGGUCCGGGAAGUUGGGUGUGAAAGCCCUCAGCUCAACUGAGGAAUUGCGCCCAAAACUGCCGGACUUGAGGGAGACAGAGGUGAGCGGAACUUAGGGUGGAGCGGUGAAAUGCGUUGAUAUCCUAAGGAACACCAGUAGCGAAAGCGGCUCACUGGGUCUUUUCUGACGCUGAUGCACGAAAGCUAGGGGAGCGAAGA